AAGACCUUGCGCUUUUGGAGCGGCCGAUGCCUGAUUAGCUUGUUGGUAAGGUAAAAGCUUACCAAGGCUUCGAUCAGUAGCUGGUCUGAGAGGACGACCAGCCACACUGGGACUGAGACACGGCCCAGACUCCUACGGGAGGCAGCAGUGGGGAAUUUUGGACAAUGGGCGCAAGCCUGAUCCAGCCAUGCCGCGUGAGUGAAGAAGGCCUUCGGGUUGUAAAGCUCUUUCAGCCGGGAAGAAAAGGUUGCGACUAAUAAUCGCAAUCCAUGACGGUACCGAAAGAAGAAGCACCGGCUAACUACGUGCCAGCAGCCGCGGUAAUACGUAGGGUGCGAGCGUUAAUCGGAAUUACUGGGCGUAAAGCGUGCGCAGGUGGUUUUGUAAGUCAGAUGUGAAAGCCCCGGGCUCAACCUGGGAACU
RNAcentral lists this ribosomal RNA (423 nucleotides) under uncultured bacterium. RNAcentral describes it as "bacterial SSU rRNA". It matches the Rfam family "Bacterial small subunit ribosomal RNA", at positions 207 to 622 of the family's 1533-position model. The record is from RNAcentral.